AACGAGAGAGAGCCAAGCAGACAGAAAUUAAUCCAAACAGAAGAAACAAUGAUACUAUUAUGAAGAAAAUUCUGAUUAUCGGGUAUAAUUUAACAAAUAAUGUUGCAUACCAAACGAAAGAAGUCCCGUAAAGAAAACAAGUGUAAACAAAAGGAAGAGAAUGAUUAAUUCCACAUCAGAAAUGGCUAAGGAUCACUCGCUUAUGAAGGCGGUGAUUAUGGAGACAAAAGAUGACAGGAAAAUUUUGAAACUCUAUCGAGAUAUUUAAACAGAAUGUUGCUGUUAUUGGUUAGAAUGCAAAAACUAUAAUAUUAGAAGAAAGAUCUUUGUGAACGCCAUUUUCUUUCGACGAUUGGAUGAAAAAGAAAUAGAUAUGCGAGAACGAGAGGAUUGAAUUGUUAAACAGAUGAAUAAUGCGAUAGUAAACUUGGACGUUUAACCAAGUAAAAAGUGCCUCACGGGAGGAGUUUUACCUGAAAAUUACCUCAAAUUA
Molecule: long non-coding RNA, 493 nt
Organism: Centruroides sculpturatus (bark scorpion)
Lineage: Eukaryota; Metazoa; Arthropoda; Arachnida; Scorpiones; Buthidae
Exons: 3
Source: RefSeq, a predicted model, not a curated record